CUCUUACCCUAUAGGUCCUAUAGGUUCUCCUCUUACCCUAUAGGUUCUCCUCUUACCCUAUAGGUUCUCCUCUUACCCUAUAUGCCCUAUAGGUUCUUCUCUUACCCUAUAGGUUCUCCUCUUACCCUAUAGGUUCUCCUCUUACCCUAUAUGUCCUAUAGGUUCUUCUCUUACCCUAUAGGUUCUCCUCUUACC
This is a long non-coding RNA of Oncorhynchus keta (chum salmon), 195 nucleotides long. RefSeq lists it as uncharacterized. Lineage: Eukaryota; Metazoa; Chordata; Actinopteri; Salmoniformes; Salmonidae. The transcript is spliced from 3 exons. The record is from RefSeq and is a predicted model, not a curated record.